Molecule: long non-coding RNA, 381 nt
Organism: Strongylocentrotus purpuratus (purple sea urchin)
Lineage: Eukaryota; Metazoa; Echinodermata; Echinoidea; Camarodonta; Strongylocentrotidae
Exons: 3
Source: RefSeq, a predicted model, not a curated record
GAAUAGAGAAAGAGAGAAAGAGAGAGAGAGAGAGAGAGAGAGAGAGAGAGAGAGCUGUUGGUGGUGUUGUGCCUGCUUCUUUAAAUGCAUGAUCUAAUGCUUUAACAUAUUUCUUUCUUUUUCAAGUCAUUGUUGUGAUUUACAGGGAGACUGGUACAAUGAAUGCAACGAUAAAUUGACCAUCGUGCAGACAUCUACUGGUAUGCUUUUGGGAAACUACAUAAUGGAUGUCGAGUUGUUUACUAGCAUGGCAGAUGACUGCAUCCAGGAAUGUUUCGUAUAGCACCGAGCAACAAGGAGUUUUCAGUGAGUGUAACUGCUGUUAGAGUUUGGUUGGAUCUGCACUUGCGGAGGUUCUUGUUUGUAUAUAUCUACAGCCAA